Molecule: long non-coding RNA, 207 nt
Filed under: Prunus persica (peach)
Lineage: Eukaryota; Viridiplantae; Streptophyta; Magnoliopsida; Rosales; Rosaceae
Description: long non-coding RNA (PPER_LNC004673)
Source: RNAcentral
GAGCUUUGACCAAUAUCCAAAGUCUAAAACUAUGCAAUACUCCAACCACUCCAUUUCAGAACGAACUUCGUACGAAACUGAAUUGUCCAAUUUCAUGGACCGAUCGAUAUCGGUUUGAGCCCAAAACUUUGGGAACUUCGUAAUACGGUGGGGGGAAGUCAUUUGGUGAGUUUUGAGUGAUAUCCAAUGGCUAAGACUAUGCAAAAC